GUGUCAGCAGCCGCGGUACGACAGAGGUUGCAAACGUUGUUCGGAAUCACUGGGCAUAAAGCGCACGUAGGCGGCUGACUAAGUCAGAUGUGAAAUCCCUCGGCUCAACCGGGGAACUGCGUCUGAUACUGGUCGGCUUGAGAACGGUAGGGGUGAGCGGAACUCCAGGUGGAGCGGUGAAAUGCGUAGAUAUCUGGAGGAACACCGGUGGCGAAAGCGGCUCACUGGACCGUCACUGACGCUGAGGUGCGAAAGCUAGGGUAGCAAACGGGAUUAGAUACCCCGGUAGUCCUAGCCGUAAACGAUGGGCACUUGGUAAGGGGGAUUCCUAUGGUCCUCCUUGCCGUAGCUAAUGUGUUAAGUGCCCCGCCUGGGGAGUACGCUCGCAAGGGUAAA
Molecule: ribosomal RNA, 396 nt
Filed under: uncultured bacterium
Lineage: Bacteria
Description: bacterial SSU rRNA
Rfam family: Bacterial small subunit ribosomal RNA
Source: RNAcentral